This is a long non-coding RNA of Neoarius graeffei (lesser salmon catfish), 657 nucleotides long. RefSeq lists it as uncharacterized. The record is from RefSeq and is a predicted model, not a curated record. The transcript has 3 exons. Lineage: Eukaryota; Metazoa; Chordata; Actinopteri; Siluriformes; Ariidae.
UCUGUUUAAUUUGUUGUCUAUUUGAGUUCAACUUGAGUUCAACCAGUCAACGCCUCUCUGAUUGGCCAACCGUGUCGACGCAGCCCAAUAGUAAACGCCACUCUGAUUGGCCAACAACACCGCUAACGUUUCUCACGAUUCAGAGGAACUUUUCUUCUGUGCCGGAGAUGAAGAAGCAAAUGGCCGCACGGUUCUAAUUGUUUCUUCUGCUGACGAUGGUUCUGCUCAGCACAAAUUUGUCCUGAAUAAGUUGAAGGCUGUUCAGUAAUGCACUCAUGGCAAAGUUCAAUAUGAAGGGGAAGGGGACAAAGUCAAAAAAGCCUUUAGAGAAGACUCAACUUUAUAAGGCAAUCCAAGAUGGAGUCAUGAAGUUUGAUUCCACAGCCACUGAGGGCUACAUUAGAAGUUGUGUCUCUGAACAGCUUAAACAUGCACCUCAAAGACGAGAAGGUGGAGGACACAAUGCUGAGAGGACUGAGGACUAAGGACCUUUUCACUUAAUCCACCGCGUCUUUUUUUUUUUCUUCCCACGAGUUGGCAAGUUGGCCUGUUUUGCCAGUAUUAAAACGGAAUAAAAAAGAGACGAGUGAGGAUUGAAUUGUAAUUUUAUUGUCUAUAAAUGGACAUGGAGGGUUUCUGAACUGUUCAGUUAUCACU